RNAcentral lists this ribosomal RNA (763 nucleotides) under uncultured Terriglobales bacterium. RNAcentral describes it as "bacterial SSU rRNA". It matches the Rfam family "Bacterial small subunit ribosomal RNA", at positions 35 to 780 of the family's 1533-position model. The record is from RNAcentral. Lineage: Bacteria; Pseudomonadati; Acidobacteriota; Terriglobia; Terriglobales.
GCUGGCGGCGUGCCUACACAUGCAAGUCGAACGCGAAAGUCCCGCAAGGGGCAAGUAGAGUGGCAAACGGGUGAGUAACGCGUGGGUGACCUGCCUUCGAGCGGGGGAUAACGUCCCGAAAGGGACGCUAAUACCGCAUAACAUCCUGCCUUUGAAGAGGUGGAGAUCAAAGCUGGGGAUUCGCAAGAACCCGGCACUUGAAGAGGGGCCCGCGUCUGAUUAGCUAGUUGGUGAGGUAACGGCUCACCAAGGCUUCGAUCAGUAGCCGGCCUGAGAGGGCGGACGGCCACACUGGGACUGAGACACGGCCCAGACUCCUACGGGAGGCAGCAGUGGGGAAUUGUUCGCAAUGGGCGCAAGCCUGACGACGCAACGCCGCGUGGAGGAUGAAGACCUUCGGGUCGUAAACUCCUGUCGAACGGGACNAAAGUACUGCGGGUUAAUACUCCGCAGUCGUGACGGUACCGUUAAAGGAAACCCCGGCUAACUCCGUGCCAGCAGCCGCGGUAAUACGGGGGGGGUAAGCGUUGUUCGGAAUUACUGGGGGUAAAGGGCUCGUAGGCGGCCAACUAAGUCGGACGUGAAAUCCCUCAGCUUAACUGGGGAACUGCGUCCGAUACUGGAUGGCUUGGAUUUGGGAGAGGGAUGCGGAAUUCCAGGUGUAGCGGUGAAAUGCGUAGAUAUCUGGAGGACACCGGUGGCGAGGCGGCCUCCUGGGACCAAUAUGGACGCUGAGAGCGAAGCUAGGGAGCAAACGGGAUUA